GUAAGUCAUUUAUUUUCUCCGAAUUUUAGUUUACUCAACCUGUAAAAUACAAAUGUUACAAUGACAAUAGCAAUAGUUCUACAUUCUAUGUCCAUCUCACAUUAUUAUAAUAAAAUCAGCAAAGAUCCUGCAUUUUAAAGCUUCCUCAAACUAUAAAUAUUAGUCUUAGUUGUCUCAUUUUGCAGGGAAGUCUUGAGUCCAUUCAAAUACUGUAGUCUGUUGGACAAGCAAGCUCCUGGUGUCUAUACAUGUGCUUGAAAAAGUGUGGGCAAGGACUGUAGUCAAAGUCUUUCAACUGUGGUAGUCAGGAAGGAAGCUUCUUGAGGACAGAUGAAGUCAGGCUGAGAGGGCCAGUGAUUAUAUCAGGGCAUAUAAUCCUUUAGGCCUUGACAACUAGAAUCCUCUCUUUUUGUUUUAUUCUUCCCUACCCACAUGUUCAAGUCUGUAUUCUGUAUGAACAUAGGUUCCCCUCCUCUCUGCUCUCUUCCCACUCCACUACUCGAUCUGAUCUCUUGAACAAGGUGUCUAUGGCAGAGAGUUGGGGUGUUUUGUUAGGUUGAGACCACAUCAUUCUGUUAGCUUUUUAUUACUGUAACUUCAGCUGAUUAAUGGGAAAAGGUUCGUUUUGGCUCUGUGGUGGAUUGACUAAUGAGCAACUAGCAAUGCCCAGCUGAACAGAAUCAGCAUGGUCUGGGCAUGGAGGAUCCACCUGAGGAUUGUUACCAAUAGCCAUAAAAAGAACUGGAGGGGAAGAUAGUGGCCUGUUGAUUUUCUAGGAGAAGCUUGCUGCAGAUGGUUUCCCUGAUGUGAACUAGGCCAUUCUCGUUGGAGGAGGAGCUCGGGGAUGUGCUGUCCCUGGGAAUGGCUGCUGUUUUUGUCUCUGAUCUUGAUCAUUCCUGGCUCCAGUGUGGAUCCCUCAGCAUGGUAGCACAAAUCCUUCAUCUCACCAAGGGAGAGAAGCCUGAUUCAACGCUAUCAUUGUCAGUGCCAGGUGUUCUGCUUCCAAAGAGUUCAAAAAUCUAUCUCCAGAGUACCGAGAGUUGUGCCUCACCCAAUCACUGGAAACCAUGAGAUGAAGCCAACCCACACCUGCUCCAAGGCCUGGGUUCAGUUGGCCCCUCCCUAAAAUGGCAUCUGACAAAACAUCCUUUUCCUGGGGACCUUUGGACUGGAGUCACUCACCAGCUGUUGUUGCUUACAGGAUCCACUACUCCAUUCCACUGGUUCAGCAAGGAACCACCAAGUCCACUAGUCUGUGGGAGACUGUUUGAAGAUGAGAUGAUUAAUGAAAGAAAAGUAAUACUAAAAAUGAAGACAAAAAAGCAAGUUCAUUUUAAACACAUUUUUCUUACCCUGGAGGUGCCUAUUUGUCUACCUGGCACUUAUAUUGGCAUCCUAUGCAUGUG
Molecule: long non-coding RNA, 1406 nt
Filed under: Heterocephalus glaber (naked mole-rat)
Lineage: Eukaryota; Metazoa; Chordata; Mammalia; Rodentia; Bathyergidae
Description: lncRNA (ENSHGLG00100037159.1)
Source: RNAcentral